This 453-nucleotide ribosomal RNA is filed under the name uncultured cyanobacterium. RNAcentral describes it as "bacterial SSU rRNA". It matches the Rfam family "Bacterial small subunit ribosomal RNA", at positions 28 to 524 of the family's 1533-position model. The record is from RNAcentral. Lineage: Bacteria; Bacillati; Cyanobacteriota.
GAUGAACGCUGGCGGUAUGCUUAACACAUGCAAGUCGAACGGGAUUCUUCGGAAUCUAGUGGCGGACGGGUGAGUAACGCGUGAGAAUCUGCCUUCAGGUCGGGGACAACAUUUGGAAACGAAUGCUAAUACCCGAUGUGCCGCAAGGUGAAAGGUUAACUGCCUGAAGAUGAGCUCGCGUCCGAUUAGCUAGUUGGUGGUGUAAAGGACUACCAAGGCGACGAUCGGUAGCUGGUUUGAGAGGACAAUCAGCCACACUGGGACUGAGACACGGCUCAGACUCCUACGGGAGGCAGCAGUGGGGAAUUUUUCCGCAAUGGGCGAAGGCCUGACGGAGCAAUACCGCGUGAGGGACGAAGGCCUGUGGGUUGUAAACCUCUUUUCUCAGGGAAGAAGCUCUGACGGUACCUGAGGAAUCAGCAUCGGCUAACUCCGUGCCAGCGCGCCGGUAGU